GAUGAACGCUGGCGGCGUGCCUAAUACAUGCAAGUCGAGCGAACAGACGAGGAGCUUACUCCUCUGACGUUAGCGGCGGACGGGUGAGUAACACGUGGAUAACCUACCUAUAAGACUGGGAUAACUUCGGGAAACCGGAGCUAAUACCGGAUAACAUGUUGAACCGCAUGGUUCAACAGUGAAAGACGGUCUUGCUGUCACUUAUAGAUGGAUCCGCGUCGCAUUAGCUAGUUGGUAAGGUAACGGCUUACCAAGGCAACGAUGCGUAGCCGACCUGAGAGGGUGGUCGGCCACACUGGAACUGAGACACGGUCCCAGCUCCUACGGGAGGCAGCAGUAGGGAAUCUUCCGCAAUGGGCGGAAGCCUGACGGAGCAACGCCGCGGGAGUUGAGGAGGUCUUCGGAUCGUAAAACUCUGUUAUUAGGGAAGAACAAAUGUGUAAGUAACUAUGCACGUCUUGACGGUACCUAAUCAGAAAGCCACGGCUAACUACGUG
RNAcentral lists this ribosomal RNA (497 nucleotides) under uncultured bacterium. RNAcentral describes it as "partial 16S ribosomal RNA". It matches the Rfam family "Bacterial small subunit ribosomal RNA", at positions 28 to 507 of the family's 1533-position model. The record is from RNAcentral.